Molecule: unclassified non-coding RNA, 378 nt
Filed under: plant metagenome
Description: partial contains 5.8S ribosomal RNA, internal transcribed spacer 2, and large subunit ribosomal RNA
Rfam family: 5.8S ribosomal RNA (bases 1-105)
Source: RNAcentral
GAAAUGCGAUAAGAAAUGUGAAUUGCAGAAUUCAGUGAAUCAUCGAAUCUUUGAACGCACCUUGCGCUCCUUGGUAUUCCUUGGAGCAUGCCUGUUUGAGUAUCAUGAAAUCUUCAAAGUAAAUCUUUUGUUAACUCAAUUGGUUUCUACUUUGGUAUUGGAGGUCUUUGCAGCUUCACACCUGCUCCUCUUUGUUCAUUAGCUGGAUCUCAGUGUUAUGCUUGGUUCCACUCGGCGUGAUAAGUUAUCUAUCGCUGAGGACACUGUAAAAGGUGGCCAAGGUAAAUGCAGAUGAACCACUUCUAAUAGUCCAUUGACUUGGACAAUACUUUUAUGAUCUGAUCUCAAAUCAGGUAGGACUACCCGCUGAACUUAAGC